CCUAAAGGCUUCUGCUGUUCUUGAGCAGGAAGACGCGGGCCGGCACGAGCAACCGUGGACGUUCAAUGGCAGCCCAGGGCAGCAGCACCAGCAACUUUCCAGGAGCAAACUUCCAAGUGAGAAGACAGGAAACUGAAGUAACUCAUAACAGCAAGAAACUUCCCGAAGUGCCCGCUGCCUGGGCAGACCUGUGCACACCUGCGCCCACGGUGAAAAGGGAUUCAUGUCAACAUACGUGAAGAUCAUUUAGAUCAAUUUCCACUCUAAGUGACAACUAUUUCAACUACAAAACAAAGAAGCUAGACCACGAGAGUUUUAAAAAGAUCUACAGCUUUCAACUUCACCUGAGGUACAGGUCUAAAUUCCUGUUAAAGAGUUAAAAGCAAAUUGUUUUAGC
Chinchilla lanigera (long-tailed chinchilla) is the source of this 397-nucleotide long non-coding RNA. RefSeq lists it as uncharacterized. The transcript is spliced from 3 exons. The record is from RefSeq and is a predicted model, not a curated record. NCBI's taxonomy places the organism in Eukaryota, Metazoa, Chordata, Mammalia, Rodentia, Chinchillidae.